RNAcentral lists this long non-coding RNA (226 nucleotides) under Brassica napus (rape). RNAcentral's name for it is "long non-coding RNA (BNAP_LNC020386)". Lineage: Eukaryota; Viridiplantae; Streptophyta; Magnoliopsida; Brassicales; Brassicaceae. The record is from RNAcentral.
UUUUCUUACAUAUUAAUAAAAUAUACAAAAUUUUGAUUAUAAAUAUAUUAUAUUUUUGGUUGACCAUUUUCAUAAUUUUAAACUAAUAAAAGUUUAAAAUAUCAAUGCUCCGCCCGUCCACGGCUAAUGGGCCAUCCACGCUAGCUCACUCGGUUUGUGGGUACCAUCUCGUCUGACAAGCGGUGCAUUAACUUUUUCAAUGCCCGGAAGUCUUGUUUACUGAUCC